GAACGUGACGUCAAUUAUACUACAUGUCAAGUCGAGCGAACAGAUGAGAAGCUUGCUUCUCUGAUGUUAGCGGCGGACGGGUGAGUAACACGUGGGUAACCUACCUAUAAGACUGGGAUAACUCCGGGAAACCGGGGCUAAUACCGGAUAAUAUUUUGAACCGCAUGGUUCAAUAGUGAAAGACGGUUUCGGCUGUCACUUAUAGAUGGACCCGCGCCGUAUUAGCUAGUUGGUAAGGUAACGGCUUACCAAGGCGACGAUACGUAGCCGACCUGAGAGGGUGAUCGGCCACACUGGAACUGAGACACGGUCCAGACUCCUACGGGAGGCAGCAGUAGGGAAUCUUCCGCAAUGGGCGAAAGCCUGACGGAGCAACGCCGCGUGAGUGAUGAAGGUCUUCGGAUCGUAAAACUCUGUUGUUAGGGAAGAACAAAUUUGUUAGUAACUGAACAAGUCUUGACGGUACCUAACCAGAAAGCCACGGCUAACUACGUGCCAGCAGCCGCGGUAAUACGUAGGUGGCAAGCGUUAUCCGGAAUUAUUGGGCGUAAAGCGCGCGUAGGCGGUUUCUUAAGUCUGAUGUGAAAGCCCACGGCUCAACCGUGGAGGGUCAUUGGAAACUGGGAAACUUGAGUGCAGAAGAGGAGAGUGGAAUUCCAUGUGUAGCGGUGAAAUGCGCAGAGAUAUGGAGGAACACCAGUGGCGAAGGCGGCUCUCUGGUCUGUAACUGACGCUGAUGUGCGAAAGCGUGGGGAUCAAACAGGAUUAGAUACCCUGGUAGUCCACGCCGUAAACGAUGAGUGCUAAGUGUUAGGGGGUUUCCGCCCCUUAGUGCUGCAGCUAACGCAUUAAGCACUCCGCCUGGGGGGAGUACGACCGCAAGGGUUGAAACUCAAAAGGAAUUGACGGGGACCCGCACAAGCGGUGGAGCAUGUGGUUAAUUCGAAGCAACGCGAAGAACCUUACCAAAUCUUGACAUCCUUUGACCGCUCUAGAGAUAGAGUCUUCCCCUUCGGGGGACAAAGUGACAGGUGGUGCAUGGUUGUCGUCAGCUCGUGUCGUGAGAUGUUGGGUUAAGUCCCGCAACGAGCGCAACCCUUAAGCUUAGUUGCCAUCAUUAAGUUGGGCACUCUAGGUUGACUGCCGGUGACAAACCGGAGGAAGGUGGGGAUGACGUCAAAUCAUCAUGCCCCUUAUGAUUUGGGCUACACACGUGCUACAAUGGAUAAUACAAAGGGCAGCGAAUCCGCGAGGCCAAGCAAAUCCCAUAAAAUUAUUCUCAGUUCGGAUUGUAGUCUGCAACUCGACUACAUGAAGCUGGAAUCGCUAGUAAUCGUAGAUCAGCAUGCUACGGUGAAUACGUUCCCGGGUCUUGUACACACCGCCCGUCACACCACGAGAGUUUGUAACACCCGAAGCCGGUGGAGUAACCUUUUAGGAGCUAGCCGUCGAAGGUGAUCAAAAAU
RNAcentral lists this ribosomal RNA (1466 nucleotides) under Mammaliicoccus sciuri. RNAcentral's name for it is "bacterial SSU rRNA". It matches the Rfam family "Bacterial small subunit ribosomal RNA". Lineage: Bacteria; Bacillati; Bacillota; Bacilli; Caryophanales; Staphylococcaceae. The record is from RNAcentral.